CUCAACGAAUGGACAUUCUGAGAUCCACUUCAGAAAUGAUUUGCAAUAAAUAAGCAACAUUUUCUAAACGAUGGAGAGAAACAGCAACAACGAUACAGUUUUAAUCGAUUCCUUAAUUGCGUCUGUUCUGUGCUAUGAAAAGGCUCCUGCAAUGUCUGGCGCGUUUCAAAUAACCAUUUAUAUAAUUACCAAAUAAUAUCGAUAACAAAAAAAUGUUAACGUAAUAGGUCCGCCUAAAGGAUAUACAUUGUGUAAAAUCUUUGUUACUUCUAAUUGGUCGAACGAAAUACCGUUCGUCCACGAGGAGAAGGUUAGGCAACUAUUUACAUCCCCACUCCAAUCGCAAUCCACCAGCAUCCCUAGUAUCGUACGCGUCGUCACUAUUGGCUGAAAUAGUGACGAAGAUCGAUAGCGACCAGUUCGAGAUCGAGUGAAAUCGAACGCUGUCUUCGCAACAUUGUUUUAUUAUUGCUUUUAUUUACAUACGUUUGUUUUAUUCUUUAGAAAUUGCGAAUUACGUUUUACGUCCACGAGGAGGUCGUUGUUACUAGAAGUUAAUAAACGAUGCGAAGGAAUUUAUGUACUAUUUGAUUUCACUAUAACCUUGAAGGAAUUAAUUUGUAUUUAUGUACAUACAUUCGUAUGUUGCGAGAGGUUAUGUCAAUGCUACCAAGAGAUUGUUCGACAUCGCUCCAUCUCAGUUGAUCAGUCGUCGAUCUUUGUCUCCGUGUCAGCCAAUAGUGACAAUGUCCGAAUGGUGGGGAAGCUGUGGGAUUGCAACUAGAGUGUUGUAAACACUCGCUUAGUCUUCACCUCGCGGGCGUACGAUGCAUGUGUAUACCAUUAGAAUCGUCGUAAAUACGCCAUAGGGAUAAAUAAUAGCAUGGAAAAUGGAAAUAACAUUUAACGAUGUGAUAAAAAUGUACAUGUAUCAUGGAAAUCUCUCGCAGUGCCGUGUUGUUGCGAUCUUUGUAAAAUUUUUCUUACGACAUUGAUGUUUUUAGUACGAAUCGAACGCAACUGUCGUUGAUUGACGUGUUUGACUAUGUCCACGGAAAUAAAACAUCCAUACUUUACGAAGAAUAACCGCUAAGAGAGGAAGGAAAGUUUACCGGUAAACAUCGGCUCAAACGCGAAGAAAAACAGUCUCUGAAAGAUGUCUGCGAAUAGGAAGGCGUGGCACCAUGUCGUAAACUGAAAACGGAAAUGAAGUGGGAGGAGCAGGAGGAGGGGGGAAAGGAACACGAUAAAUCGAAAUGUCUUAGCGUUUCAAGCUAUUUUCGUUGUUUACUCUUGCAUAAGCUUUUAUAUAAAAAUGAGUCACGGAUCGGAGUGUCUCUUCGGCGCGCCGAAUUCAAACCACGGUUAUUAUUUAGAGGUUAGGUGAAAGAGAGGAGUGCGUCCGCGAUACCCGUGUAAUUAAUUCAAUUGCGAAUUCUGUUACGGAACAAUAUUGGGUACCAGUUAACGUUUAUUUACGUAACAUAAGAGAAAUGCAUGAUGAUCUGUAAUUAAUUACAGUUCUAUAAUGAGAUUCGUCGGUAAUAGCACUGUA
This 1555-nucleotide long non-coding RNA is filed under the name Eufriesea mexicana. RNAcentral's name for it is "uncharacterized LOC108548220". The record is from RNAcentral. Lineage: Eukaryota; Metazoa; Arthropoda; Insecta; Hymenoptera; Apidae.